Molecule: ribosomal RNA, 612 nt
Filed under: Ophiocordyceps xuefengensis
Lineage: Eukaryota; Fungi; Ascomycota; Sordariomycetes; Hypocreales; Ophiocordycipitaceae
Description: eukaryotic LSU rRNA
Rfam family: Eukaryotic large subunit ribosomal RNA
Source: RNAcentral
UGCAUAUCGGUAAGCGGAGGAAAAGAAACCAACAGGGAUUGCCCCAGUAACGGCGAGUGAAGCGGCAACAGCUCAAAUUUGAAAUCUGGCCCCCGCCCGCGGGGCCCGAGUUGUAAUUUGCAGAGGAUGCUUUUGGCGCGGCGCCUUCCGAGUUCCCUGGAACGGGACGCCAUAGAGGGUGAGAGCCCCGUCUGGUCGGACGCCUAGCCUCUGUAAAGCUCCUUCGACGAGUCGAGUAGUUUGGGAAUGCUGCUCUAAACGGGAGGUAUAUGUCUUCUAAAGCUAAAUAUUGGCCAGAGACCGAUAGCGCACAAGUAGAGUGAUCGAAAGAUGAAAAGCACUUUGAAAAGAGGGUUAAACAGUACGUGAAAUUGUUGAAAGGGAAGCGCUUGUGACCAGACUUGGGCGCGGCGAAUCAUCCGGCGUUCUCGCCGGUGCGCUUCGCCGCGCCCGGGCCAGCAUCAGUUCGCGGCGGGGGACAAAGGCGCCGGGAACGUGGCUCCCCCGGGAGUGUUAUAGCCCGGCGCGCAAUGCCCCGCGGCGGACUGAGGUUCGCGCAUCCGCAAGGAUGCUGGCGUAAUGGUCACCAGUGACCCGUCUUGAAACACGGAA